Molecule: ribosomal RNA, 331 nt
Filed under: uncultured bacterium
Lineage: Bacteria
Description: bacterial SSU rRNA
Rfam family: Bacterial small subunit ribosomal RNA
Source: RNAcentral
UACGUAGACGGUUGGAUAAGUCAGAUGUGAAAGCCCCGGGCUCAACCUGGGAAUGGCAUUUGAAACUGUUCAGCUAGGGUGCGGAAGAGGGAAGCGGAAUUUCCGGUGUAGCGGUGAAAUGCGUAGAUAUCGGAAGGAACACCAGUGGCGAAAGCGGCUUCCUGGUCCAGCACCGACGUUCAGGUACGAAAGCAUGGGGAGCAAACAGGAUUAGAUACCCUGGUAGUCCAUGCCAUAAACGAUGAGGACUAGACGUUGAGAGGGUAAGCCUCGCAGUGUCGUAGCUAACGCGCUAAGUCCUCCGCCUGGGGAGUACGGCCGCAAGGUUGAA